Molecule: ribosomal RNA, 492 nt
Filed under: uncultured bacterium
Lineage: Bacteria
Description: partial 16S ribosomal RNA
Rfam family: Bacterial small subunit ribosomal RNA
Source: RNAcentral
AGUGAACGCUGGCGGUAGGCCUAACACAUGCGAGUCGAACGGCAGCACAGUAAGAGCUUGCUCUUACGGGUGGCGAGUGGCGGACGGGUGAGGAAUACAUCGGAAUCUACUUUUUCGUGGGGGAUAACGUAGGGAAACUUACGCUAAUACCGCAUACGACCUACGGGUGAAAGCAGGGGAUCUUCGGACCUUGCGCGAUUGAAUGAGCCGAUGUCGGAUUAGCUAGUUGGCGGGGUAAAGGCCCACCAAGGCGACGAUCCGUAGCUGGUCUGAGAGGAUGAUCAGCAACACUGGAACUGAGACACGGUCCAGACUCCUACGGGAGGCAGCAGUGGGGAAUAUUGGACAAUGGGCGCAAGCCUGAUCCAGCCAUACCGCGUGGGUGAAGAAGGCCUUCGGGUUGUAAAGCCCUUCUGUUGGGAAAGAAAAGCAGCAGGUUAAUACCCCGCUGUUCUGACGGUACCCAAAGAAUAAGCACCGGCUAACUUCGUG